Molecule: non-coding RNA, 2341 nt
Organism: Delphinapterus leucas (beluga whale)
Lineage: Eukaryota; Metazoa; Chordata; Mammalia; Artiodactyla; Monodontidae
Source: RefSeq, a predicted model, not a curated record
GGGGGAUGGGUGGAGGGUCGGGUGAGAGCCGGGCGGGGAAACUGCGGAGGGCAACCGUGCGCGGCGGAGGCGGAGCAAAUAUGCUUUCCCCGCUCGACCCUGCCGGCCGCCACGUGGGGCGCUGCGGAGACCAGUCGGCCCACAGCGCUGGGGCGCCUAGCCGGGGCGCCGGGCGACCGGACGCGUCGUCGCCGCUACCGGGGCCUCGGACUCCUUCGGCCUCGUCGGCUGUCGCUUUUCUGUCGUACGCCCUGCGCCUUCACGCUUUGCUGUCAAUCCGAGCGCACUCCCAGCACCCUGCGCACACGGGUGCACGCACGCUCAGCGUGUUUUGCACGGUGUGUACACAUUUGACGUGCUCCAGCUGAAGGCCCCGACGCCGCCCGUCAAAGCUGCGGCCCAGGCGACCUUCGCCACGAGCUUCCCCUCCUCUCGGCUGGUCAUCCCUCCUCGCGCACGGAAGUGCGUCGGGGGAAGAAAAGCGCCUCCAUUCGGUAGGCAAACCGCCCGGCAGUUCACCAGAAAGGAAAACUUUCACCACCACCCUGGGAGGGCUGAAUAAUAUUCUGUUGUCCGGAUGUACCAAAGUUUAUCCAUCUACCUACUGAAGGACAUCUUGGAUGCUUCCAAGUUUUGGCAAUAAAAAUAAGCUUCUGUAAACAUCCAGGUGCAAAUUUUUACAUGGACAUAAGUUUUCAACUCAUUUGGAUGAAUUCUAAGGACCGUAAUUUCUGGAUUGUAUGUUAUAUGGCGCGUACCCACCACCUCACCUCUCCUACCUUCCUCAUACUGGGAGACAAGUCUUCCCCGGAGUUUUGGAUCUCGGCAGGCGGACAUGCCAUCUUACACACUACCCUCGACUGAACGUGAAAACAACCUGAGAAACACAGACUAUUCAAUGGGAGAAGGGAGAAGAGGAGUGAAGGAGGUAGAUAAAAAUCCCCCUUGGCUAUGGAGAAAAGGCCGAGGGUUUCAGUUCCCUUGUUUGAGGCAAAGAUGGCACAGAGCCCCAGGAAUAGGCUUAAAAUAGUGAUCCUGGCAGGGCAUACAAGACUUCUGAGAUUGAUCAGAAAAGCUUCCAGCUUAUGAGAUCUCCAGUGUCUUUUUUCAGCCAGCAACUGGAAUAGCAGGCCAGAAAACUUUUGGUGGCAAUUUGGAGAAAUAUUAAAUGAAAAUAUCUUCAACUAGGAGUGAAGAAAGCUCUGGAAGGAAUGUGGAACAGUGAAAGAAGAGAAAAGCUUUACCUUGAUAGAAUCAGGACCACCAACGGACCUUUUCUGUCUCUAGCUUGGAACCUGGGAUCAGAAAGUGGUACGCCGGCCUCUCACUGUUGUGGCCUCUCCCGUUGCGGAGCACAGGCUCCAGACGCACAGGCUCAGCGGCAUGUGGGAUCUUCCCGGACCGGGGCACGAACCCGUGUCCCCUGCAUCGGCAGGCGGACUCUCAACCACUGCGCCACCAGGGAAGCCCUAUUACCACUCCUUUUAAGCACACAGAGCUUAAAUAGUUUGCUAAAGGUCCAUUACAAUGGGGCACACCAAGAAUUUGAACUGAGGAAGCUGGGAAGCAAAUUCUGAAGGCAAAGUUAGGAGAGCAAAAUCCUGAAGCGCAGCAAGCCAGAGCCUACUUAAUGUGCCAAGAUCUGCGUGGACUAAGUCAAGCAGCCCGUCUGAUGAAAUCGACCCGUUUCCGACACUCUCUUCUGAACAGUGACAUCAGGUGGCGUCUCUGAGGUGAAGGCUGGUCUAAGUGCCGCUCCUACCUGGCAAGACAUUACAGACUCAUUCAAGCAUCACAAACAUAUCUUCUCGUUUUUAGCUAAGUGCAUCCAAGCUUUCCUUUGGGGAACUUUCUCUCUCCACAACUGUCAGCCCGUGUUGUUGCUAUGGAGUUGUGAGCACUGUCUGGCUCCAGGGACCCACCCUGGGAUAAUGAAAGCUCUCCUGAGGACAUUUGCUAGGAGUACUAGGAAAGAAGCGCUCUCUUUAAAAGACUCUGGAUGCUAAGAGAGCCAUCUUGAUACCACUUGGAGAGGGCAAACUUGAGAAUAAAGCCAGCGCAGAAGAAAGCAGAGCCAACUACGGUUCCUGAAAACAAUUUUCCUUUUCUCCUUAAAUGUGAUGGAGCCUGCUAACCAACUGGUGAACUGCUCUGGAUUCCCUAACUGCCAGCCAUCAGAAGCUGCCUUUGAAUCAUGAGAGGCUGCUCAAUGCACCAGUCAAAAAAACACCAGUUAAAAAGCUUACAGAGGGCUUCCCUGGUGGUGCAGUGGUUGAGAGUCCGCCUGCCGAUGCAGGGGACACGGGUUCGUGCCCCGGUCCGGGAAGAUCCCACAUGCCGU